GCAUACGUGCAUGCCUACAUAGUUUUGACUUUCACUAAUUCCUGGAAUGUAGCAGCUCUUCCUCAGGGCCCAGGAAGCUUUUCCAGCUACCAUGUCCUUCCCUCUCCCAGAGACAUCUCUCCCCACAUCCCACAGUACUGCCUUUUAAAAUUAUGUCCAAUUUCAGUGUCAACGUGACCUCUUCAAAGACGACUUCUCAGAUAAUCUAAAGUGAAAUUUUUCUCUUUUCAAAGCAUCCUGUUUUUCCCUUCACGUACACUGGGCCAAAUUUUCCUCAUAUAUUUAAUUCCCUCAACCACUUUAUGAAGUAUAGACUAUGUUUCAUCACAUAGAGAAUGAAAAGCAGCUUCAUGAUGUUAAGGUAGAAAAAUAUUCAAGAACUCACAGAUUGGAAGAUGUACAACUGGGGUUUAAACACUGUUGUUCAUACAGCUGAA
This 437-nucleotide long non-coding RNA is filed under the name Homo sapiens (human). RNAcentral's name for it is "non-protein coding lnc-TNFSF13B-4:1". Lineage: Eukaryota; Metazoa; Chordata; Mammalia; Primates; Hominidae. The record is from RNAcentral.